This 89-nucleotide ribosomal RNA is filed under the name Lysinibacillus telephonicus. RNAcentral's name for it is "partial 16S ribosomal RNA". It matches the Rfam family "Bacterial small subunit ribosomal RNA", at positions 1 to 84 of the family's 1533-position model. The record is from RNAcentral. Lineage: Bacteria; Bacillati; Bacillota; Bacilli; Caryophanales; Bacillaceae.
UUUCUUUUAUGGAGAGUUUGAUCCUGGCUCAGGACGAACGCUGGCGGCGUGCCUAAUACAUGCAAGUCGAGCGAACUGAUGAGAAGCUU